This 1435-nucleotide long non-coding RNA is filed under the name Monodelphis domestica (gray short-tailed opossum). Its description in RNAcentral is "lncRNA (ENSMODG00000044700.1)". The record is from RNAcentral. Lineage: Eukaryota; Metazoa; Chordata; Mammalia; Didelphimorphia; Didelphidae.
CUCAAUAGGAAUCAUGAAAGUUCUCAAUUUUUUGGAAGGAAGAAGAAAUUGCUUGGCCACAGAACAAAAAAUAUUGCAUUAAUGAAAAAUAGAAAGCCAGAGAGUACAAGAACUCUGUAGUUGAAAUGCAAUGACGUUGUGACUCAUCCUGUACUAAUGCCAACAAAGCAUCUAUCUAUGUGGUAGGAUUUAAAGAGUAUUAAGGAUCCCUACUGCACCCCAAUUCUUUGUAUAUAUUUUGCAUUUACUUAUUUGUCUAUAUAUAGUUUUCUUCCCAAAGGAUAUCCUUAAGGAUAGGGAUCAUUUUGUACUUUUUUUGUCUCUUUGUUGUUGUUGUUGAGUUGUUUCAGGAGCAUCUGACUCUUUGGAACACCACUUGGGAUUUUCUCAGCAAAGAUAGUGGAGUGGCUUGCUAUCUUUUCUUCUACUCAUUUUAUAGAGGAGGAAACUGAGGCAAACCAGGUUAAUAGACUUACCCAGGUCACACAGGUAGUGAGGGUCAGAUUUGAACUUAUGAAGGUGAGUUUUCCUGACUCUAGGUCCAACCACAAGGCCACCUAACUGCAUUAAAAAAACAAACAACUCUACCACCUAGUGUAAUCCCUUGAACAUAGUUCUUAUGGAGUUCAAAAUGGUUUCCUGCCUUAAAUCUUGAAGUCAUCUACACUAGUUUUUCCUUUGAGUCGAAGAAUAGUUUCCAAAGGGCCAUGGUUAAAAAGUAACUCUUUCACCUAGGAGGAAAACUGUUAAAAUAUGGACUGCAUCCAAACAUGGCACAUUAGGAAGGGGACACAGAACCUAUUAAUUUUGUUGACAUCGAGUGCAAAUGCUGGAGUCAGGAAGAUCUGAGAUAAAAUUUGGUCUCAUACACUUACUAGAUGUGUGACCCUAGGCUCUCUCCAGAGUGCUGAAGAAGAUAGUUUGUCAACAUGUUCAUCAGGCAAAUGACUGAAACUGCAAAUUUUACAACCUGGAGAUGAGCAAUGCUUUGCUGCUUCCCCAAAGGGAUGUACCUUGUACCCCUUCAGAUAACGGUAUCCAUGAGAUGGUCAACUGUUGCUAUUGUUUAAUGAUAAAUAAUGGAUUAAGCAUGAAAGGAAUAAUGAUGACCUCCGAGUGUCGAUGAUGCAUCUUCCUUUCCUGGGGCCAUUACUAAACAUAGCAUUUAUGGGAUCUGAUGUUUAUAGCCUUUUACAAUAAGACUUCUGGUAGGUGCCCUGACUCCCAAUCACUGUUUUAAAUGCAAUUUGUAUUCUUGUCUUAAAAAGUACCCACUAGUUUGAUUCUAAUUUCAUGCAGCAAAACUGAGAAGAGUAUACAGAAAUUUAAGUCAAAACCACCGAAAUGAAUACCUGCAAUGGCAUGAGAUCUGGUGAUGUAAAGUUACCCCACUAUGCAUAGACCGAAUAAAGAAAUUCAUGUUUUCUUAAAACCA